GCGCCGGGGGAGUGUCCGGGGGGGCUGGGCUUGAGUAUUUCGCCCUGGAAAAAUCGAUAGAGAUCUUGUAAUGAUGCGAGGAGACUACGUCUCAAGAAUGGAAACUGAGGAGUUGGGUCGGAUUGAAACAAGUGAAGAGUGCAGGCAUCCGUGGCAUGUAGAUUAUUUAGAAAAAGAUUCUAGUGGAAGUCAAUCGUUUCGUAUCCACGUUCGGAGCCUUAAUAAAGAUGCCGUUCCCUUUAAGAGCUGGAUCAGCAUUACACAAGCUGUCAGGUGCACAGAGGCAGCAAAUCAAGAAUAAACUGAUGUACUUGAGUGAAAAGGAAACUUGUAAACAAUUGCUCUCUCUCCCUAUUGGUCACUCCCUAUACUUUUGUACACAUUCUAUUGACUCAGGUCUACAGUAGUUCAAAAACAUGAUACCUCUACUCUCAGGCAAGGAACAAAUGAACACAGUAUGCUUUCAUGAAACAGUGUAGGGAAAUGGCUUAGCAUAGUUGUAUAUAAAUAAAUCGUAUUAAAAGAAUGUAUGAAAACAAGCUAUCUUGACAGAAUGAGGAUUUGUAUUUUGCGUGCCGUCUCCUAUGCUGCUCCUGGAAGCUGAAUUCAGAUGGUGCAAUAGAGUACUUUAUGGCAUCUAGCACCAUUUGAAAUCAGUGUUCUUGGGUCGGUCCUGACAUCACACGGGAACCUAAAUGCUGUGGACUACUCCAGUGUUUGUAAUCAGUGUAUUUGCAUGUCUGACUUGUACAAGUUUUAUAAAUUAAAUAAAACUAAUUUAUUCUUA
Labeo rohita (rohu) is the source of this 787-nucleotide long non-coding RNA. RefSeq lists it as uncharacterized. The transcript has 2 exons. The record is from RefSeq and is a predicted model, not a curated record. NCBI's taxonomy places the organism in Eukaryota, Metazoa, Chordata, Actinopteri, Cypriniformes, Cyprinidae.